Molecule: long non-coding RNA, 2993 nt
Filed under: Malus domestica (apple)
Lineage: Eukaryota; Viridiplantae; Streptophyta; Magnoliopsida; Rosales; Rosaceae
Description: long non-coding RNA (MDOM_LNC020650)
Source: RNAcentral
GGGAUUUUUGACUCGGGGGCGGGUGGGUGUGGCUGUGGGAGAUGCAUCGGUCAGAGGGUCGUUGGGGGAGGAGAGGAGUGGGACAGAGGGAAUGACAGAUUGGAGAGAGAUGGGAGCUACGUGUUUCGACUGAGUGGGAGAGAGAUAAAGGGAUUUUGUCCAAUUUUUGAGAGAAGGAUGGACAGGGAGAGAGAGAGAGAGAGAGAGGGCAGAAAGCAUGGCUGUGUGCAUUUUUUGGGGUUAACGGGUUACUCCACAGGGUUGUUAAGGAGAGAAUGGCUGAGGGAGGUAUGGGAGAGAGUGGGUUUUCAGUUUUCACCUCUGAUUCAACAGGGAAUGCACUGUUUUAAAAUCAUUGUUUAUUGUUUGGUUUGCCAUUUGCUUUGUUAAAACUGUGAUGAAUAUUUUGUUGUUUCAUUAAAAUUGUAAUGGAUGUUUAUAGGCUGUUUAGUUGGGUGUUAGGGAGAUUAGGCUGUUGAGUGCUCUGUUCCGUACACAGUUAGAGUCAGGUUUGUGUCUUCAUAAGCUAGGGGGUUGCACUGUGCUCAUUUCUGUGUUUCUUCAUGAUUUGCUGCUGUUUCCUUCUCAACAAAUCAAAUUGAGGUUGCUUUUCCGCUUCACAUCGUUUGAAUAUCCCUCUGUUGCUAGAUUGUUUCUCCAUACUUUGUUGCUUCUGUAUUUCUGUGAUGUGAGUGUUGGGGAGAUUAGGCUGUUUUAGCAACUGUUUAGCUCCUCUGUUGGUAGUUUGUUUUUCCAAUUCUUGGUUGCUUAUGUAUUUCUGUGAUGCACUUCUUAAUUUUUUCUUGACAUGUAUGCAGAUCAAACACAAGCAUACACAUCAAACCAUGCAUUCACAGAGCAGGCGCCAAAGAGACCAUCAUUGAGGUAUUUGUUUAUCCAUUCUUAAUUUUGUUAGGUGUUGGAACAAAUCGCUUAACUGUGUUCGAAUGCAGACUCUUAUUCUCUCUAAUCUUAACUGUUAGGGUCCUCUGUUAUAUUCUCAUAUCUCUUCUGCAUUUGGAUUUGGAUUUUAUACAAAUAGAUUCUUGGUCAAACAAAAUGGGAAAAAAUGGUUGUUUCAACAUCACUUCUUUAGUUCUAUGAGAGGAACUCUGUUCGAAUUCUUACUCUUAUUCUCUCUAAUUUUUUGCUGUUUAGUUUGGACUCCUAUCGCAGCAUCAUCAUUUGCUCUUGCAGCUGCUUUUGAUGCAAAGGUUCUCAGCCAUGACAUUUGAAUCAAAAUUCUGGUAUGCCACCUGACCUUUGAUGCAGUGCUUCCCCGUACUUUCCAUUUGAGUGAUUGUUAUUUUUGUUCUCUGUAGUUUUUAGGUUUAUGGAUAAAAUAUCUUAGACCUCUUUAUUCUCCGAUAUGAUUCCAAUUUGGCACUGUAUUAUUUCUUUAAGAACAUUUCAAAUGAGUCUAUUUGUUUCUGAGACGUAUGUUGUAAAAUUCUGCUCUUUUUAUGGCUUCCUGCUUCAAGGGCUUAUUAACUUUAGAAUUUGUACCAUAACAAUUAAUUGUUUUUACCUUUCUGAAAAAUAGAAGUCUUCUUGGUCAGUCAUUUUGCACUUGAAUUCUUCGUAGUCAGUCAUUUUUAUCUGAUGCGAAGACCUUUGUAUCAAUCAUUGUUUCAGUUUAUCGGUAGAAAUGAAUGACUUCUUUGUUAUAAAACUCCUCAUGCUGCUGCAGCACUUUUACUACUUUUUGAGGUUUAUGUAAAUUUUCAAAGAAAUCGCAUGAUACCAAUAAAUCAGAGGUUUAAACAUAGUAAAUCUUGCAAGCAAUGUGUUGGAAGAGUUUUGUGCUUCAUAGAACAGUUUUUUCUUAAGGGCUGUCAAAAUUUGGAGUGUUGGUGGGAUAUUCAAUUGGUGGUAGGUAGGUACUGGUGAAAGGAUUAGAUUUUGGUAGGCUUUGUUGUUGGGAAUCACAUCUUUGCAAUCACAUUUUUUGUUUUUCCCGUGAACUAGGACAUAAAUGAAGAGAACCUUCAAGACUUAAACUGCUGCCAUCUUUCUGAUGUGCCUGAUGUUUAUGUUCGGUUGAAUUUCAACUUCUAGGUAAGUUUAUUAUAAGUAAUCUCAUGGUGGUUUGGAAAUAGCAUUGACUAUUUGUGUAGUACAAACUUCUGUGUAGCACCUGCCCUUCUACUUAUGCUACAAGUACAAGGAAUCAUGAGUCAAUUUUGAUUCACUGUGCAGGUGCAUUUUAGCCACACACUGACAGCUACUGCUGCACUUUAGGUACAAUUAAACAACCAUCAUUCUCCAAUUCAUGUGAAAAACUCAUGUACAUUGUAUAUAGUUGGGACUUUAAAAAAUCCGACAUUUUUUUUUAAGAUAGGCUUUUAAUGUAAAUUCAAUAGAAUGUAGAUCCAACUGAAAGACUUAAUUUACCAUGUCGAUUCAGUUGCUUUGAUUGGUUUCUGAAUAAUUUAAAAAUUGGUGUGUUAAACUAUGGUUACGAAUUCAAAACCCGCAAUGGAGCUUGGGCAUCUUUGCUAGUAUCAACUAUAGUAAAGAGUAAGGUGUGCAGCAAUAUCAAUUAUUGUAACUUUUCUUGCUCAUCGUAGUAACCACCAUGUAUUUUCCGAUUACAAUCAAUGUAAGCCGAGACGAAAGGAACUAAGAAACAGUCGGUCACAGAUCGACAAUUUAAUUCUGACCACAAAGUAGAAAGGUAUAUCCACCGAAACGAGUAAAUGAUUGUCAGAAUUGCGUAUUAUAAUUGAUUUACUUUGUUGACUGAGAGAAUGCAUGCACCGAAAAGAAAGGAGAAGUUGUUCCAGUCUGUGGUUUACUUUAUUUCAAUGGUUGAAUAGUAUAAGUCUCGGAAGAAGCUUCCUUGAAUAGCAUAAGUCUAGGAAGAAGCUACCUUAAAUAUUUAAUUUAGCACUCCCGUCUAUAUCAGCAUCUUCAAUUAUAACAGUGUGAAACCUCGCUGAUGAAAGAAUAAUCAAGUAGUAUUUGAUUUAAAAUUAUUAUGCAUUUUAAAU